GCUCGAUGAGUAGGGCGGGACACGUGGUAUCCUGUCUGAAUAUGGGGGGACCAUCCUCCAAGGCUAAAUACUCCUGACUGACCGAUAGUGAACCAGUACCGUGAGGGAAAGGCGAAAAGAACCCCGGCGAGGGGAGUGAAAAAGAACCUGAAACCGUGUACGUACAAGCAGUGGGAGCCUCUUAAUGGGGUGACUGCGUACCUUUUGUAUAAUGGGUCAGCGACUUAUAUUCUGUAGCAAGGUUAACCGAAUAGGGGAGCCGAAGGGAAACCGAGUCUUAACUGGGCGUUAAGUUGCAGGGUAUAGACCCGAAACCCGGUGAUCUAGCCAUGGGCAGGUUGAAGGUUGGGUAACACUAACUGGAGGACCGAACCGACUAAUGUUGAAAAAUUAGCGGAUGACUUGUGGCUGGGGGUGAAAGGCCAAUCAAACCGGGAGAUAGCUGGUUCUCCCCGAAAGCUAUUUAGGUAGCGCCUCGUGAAUUCAUCUCCGGGGGUAGAGCACUGUUUCGGCAAGGGGGUCAUCCCGACUUACCAACCCGAUGCAAACUGCGAAUACCGGAGAAUGUUAUCACGGGAGACACACGGCGGGUGCUAACGUCCGUCGUGAAGAGGGAAACAACCCAGACCGCCAGCUAAGGUCCCAAAGUCAUGGUUAAGUGGGAAACGAUGUGGGAAGGCCCAGACAGCCAGGAUGUUGGCUUAGAAGCAGCCAUCAUUUAAAGAAAGCGUAAUAGCUCACUGGUCGAGUCGGCCUGCGCGGAAGAUGUAACGGGGCUAAACCAUGCACCGAAGCUGCGGCAGCGACACUAUGUGUUGUUGGGUAGGGGAGCGUUCUGUAAGCCUGUGAAGGUGGCCUGUGAGGGUUGCUGGAGGUAUCAGAAGUGCGAAUGCUGACAUAAGUAACGAUAAAGCGGGUGAAAAGCCCGCUCGCCGGAAGACCAAGGGUUCCUGUCCAACGUUAAUCGGGGCAGGGUGAGUCGACCCCUAAGGCGAGGCCGAAAGGCGUAGUCGAUGGGAAACAGGUUAAUAUUCCUGUACUUGGUGUUACUGCGAAGGGGGGACGGAGAAGGCUAUGUUGGCCGGGCGACGGUUGUCCCGGUUUAAGCGUGUAGGCUGGUUUUCCAGGCAAAUCCGGAAAAUCAAGGCUGAGGCGUGAUGACGAGGCACUACGGUGCUGAAGCGACAAAUGCCCUGCUUCCAGGAAAAGCCUCUAAGCAUCAGGUAACAUCAAAUCGUACCCCAAACCGACACAGGUGGUCAGGUAGAGAAUACCAAGGCGCUUGAGAGAACUCGGGUGAAGGAACUAGGCAAAAUGGUGCCGUAACUUCGGGAGAAGGCACGCUGAUAUGUAGGUGAAGCGACUUGCUCGUGGAGCUGAAAUCAGUCGAAGAUACCAGCUGGCUGCAACUGUUUAUUAAAAACACAGCACUGUGCAAACACGAAAGUGGACGUAUACGGUGUGACGCCUGCCCGGUGCCGGAAGGUUAAUUGAUGGGGUUAGCGGUAACGCGAAGCUCUUGAUCGAAGCCCCGGUAAACGGCGGCCGUAACUAUAACGGUCCUAAGGUAGCGAAAUUCCUUGUCGGGUAAGUUCCGACCUGCACGAAUGGCGUAAUGAUGGCCAGGCUGUCUCCACCCGAGACUCAGUGAAAUUGAACUCGCUGUGAAGAUGCAGUGUACCCGCGGCAAGACGGAAAGACCCCGUGAACCUUUACUAUAGCUUGACACUGAACAUUGAGCCUUGAUGUGUAGGAUAGGUGGGAGGCUUUGAAGUGUGGACGCCAGUCUGCAUGGAGCCGACCUUGAAAUACCACCCUUUAAUGUUUGAUGUUCUAACGUGGGCCCCUUACCGGGGUUGCGGACAGUGUCUGGUGGGUAGUUUGACUGGGGCGGUCUCCUCCUAAAGAGUAACGGAGGAGCACGAAGGUUGGCUAAUCCUGGUCGGACAUCAGGAGGUUAGUGCAAUGGCAUAAGCCAGCUUGACUGCGAGCGUGACGGCGCGAGCAGGUGCGAAAGCAGGUCAUAGUGAUCCGGUGGUUCUGAAUGGAAGGGCCAUCGCUCAACGGAUAAAAGGUACUCCGGGGAUAACAGGCUGAUACCGCCCAAGAGUUCAUAUCGACGGCGGUGUUUGGCACCUCGAUGUCGGCUCAUCACAUCCUGGGGCUGAAGUAGGUCCCAAGGGUAUGGCUGUUCGCCAUUUAAAGUGGUACGCGAGCUGGGUUUAGAACGUCGUGAGACAGUUCGGUCCCUAUCUGCCGUGGGCGCUGGAGAACUGAGGGGGGCUGCUCCUAGUACGAGAGGACCGGAGUGGACGCAUCACUGGUGUUCGGGUUGUCAUGCCAAUGGCACUGCCCGGUAGCUAAAUGCGGAAGAGAUAAGUGCUGAAAGCAUCUAAGCACGAAACUUGCCCCGAGAUGAGUUCUCCCUGACUCCUUGAGAGUCCUGAAGGAACGUUGAAGACGACGACGUUGAUAGGCCGGGUGUGUAAGCGCAGCGAUGCGUUGAGCUAACCGGUACUAAUGAACCGUGAGGCUUAACCUUACAACGCCGAAG
Molecule: ribosomal RNA, 2554 nt
Filed under: Escherichia coli
Lineage: Bacteria; Pseudomonadati; Pseudomonadota; Gammaproteobacteria; Enterobacterales; Enterobacteriaceae
Description: partial 23S ribosomal RNA
Rfam family: Bacterial large subunit ribosomal RNA
Source: RNAcentral